CCGGGCUAUGGGGCUGCGUGUGCUGCCGCCGCGGCUCCUGCUGCUGUCGGCGCUGCUGCUGCCGGUGCAGCUGUUCGGAGCCGCGGACCCCACGCCCCCGUCACUGCGCCGCACGCAGGCCACGCUCUUGCCGCAUCCCGCCGUGACGAACGGGAGCCAGCCGGGCGCGCCGCACAACAGCACACGCCCUUGGCCGCUGGGCUCGCCGGACUCGCCGCUUCUGCGUUCCCUCUACGUGGUUACGGGCCUCAUCGUCCUAGCCGUGCUCUACUUCCUCAUCCGGGCAUUCAGCGCCCCCCUCCCAGGGGUCCUCGCCCAAGGGCCUACGCCCUGGGGGCCUGCCAAGGGAGAUGUGCACAGCAACUCAUAACGAUUGUGACCAUUAUGAGAAGAAACGCAGUUGGAACCGGAAAGUUCACAGCAAGACUCUGGGAGUCGAGCAGACGAGCAUUAUCGGAGAAGGUGGGAAGCAGGGCAGGGUGUCAGCAGCUCCAGCGAAGGGCCAUGAGAGGGCCGCUGAGCGAGCCUGGGUCUGCUUCCAGAUUGAAAAAGCCGCAGCAGAGGAGGUACGGGCUCCUGGCCAACACCGAGGACCCCACCGAGAUGGCAUCGCUGGACAGCGACGAGGAGACGGUCUUUGAAACAAGGAACCUGAGAUGAUGUACAGGUCGGGAAGGCAGCAUUUCCAGCGGCCUUGUGGGAAGGACAAGAGACAGGGCCCCUCCCAGUGCUUAGAAUGCCCUGCUGAUUCUCCUGCCGCCAAAGAGCUUGUGUGGGGCCUGCCCGGCCUGCCAGGAGCCGCCCCAGCCCUGCCCCUGGACAAGACCGCCCAGGAUACCGGCUGGAAGCCAGAGGGUCCCCGGCAGCAGCACGCAGAACUCUGAGGUCCCCGGCCACAUUGUGACUUGUGCCGAUCACCCUUCCUGGUGGGGAUGUGGCAGCCCCAAGCUGAGGCCUGGUAGGCGGGUGGGCUGGGGGGCCUGUCUGGGAGCACCAUAUCCCUGGGCUGAGGACAAUAAAGGCAGCCAGUGGUUC
This is an RNA transcript of Globicephala melas (long-finned pilot whale), 1035 nucleotides long. It is a transcript of the gene named family with sequence similarity 174 member C, with no coding region annotated. NCBI's taxonomy places the organism in Eukaryota, Metazoa, Chordata, Mammalia, Artiodactyla, Delphinidae. The record is from RefSeq and is a predicted model, not a curated record.